This 73-nucleotide transfer RNA is filed under the name Stegodyphus dumicola. RNAcentral's name for it is "tRNA-Lys". It matches the Rfam family "tRNA". From Rfam's summary of the family: Transfer RNA (tRNA) molecules are approximately 80 nucleotides in length. Their secondary structure includes four short double-helical elements and three loops (D, anti-codon, and T loops). Further hydrogen bonds mediate the characteristic L-shaped molecular structure. tRNAs have two regions of fundamental functional importance: the anti-codon, which is responsible for specific mRNA codon recognition, and the 3' end, to which the tRNAs corresponding amino acid is attached (by aminoacyl-tRNA synthetases). tRNAs cope with the degeneracy of the genetic code in two manners: having more than one tRNA (with a specific anti-codon) for a particular amino acid; and 'wobble' base-pairing, i.e. permitting non-standard base-pairing at the 3rd anti-codon position. The record is from RNAcentral. Lineage: Eukaryota; Metazoa; Arthropoda; Arachnida; Araneae; Eresidae.
GCCUGGCUAGCUCAGUCGGUAGAGCACGAGACUCUUAAUCUCGGGGUCAUAGGUUCGAGACCCACGUUGGGCG